This is a non-coding RNA of Labrus bergylta (ballan wrasse), 1064 nucleotides long. The record is from RefSeq and is a predicted model, not a curated record. NCBI's taxonomy places the organism in Eukaryota, Metazoa, Chordata, Actinopteri, Labriformes, Labridae.
UACACCAAAAAGUCCAAUUAGGUUGUUGGUGGUGAGUACUAAGAUCUUUCUCAGGGUGUCGAGGCAGGGCUUCAACUGGACAAAUCAUCAGUAAAGCCCUUUAUAACUCUACCCGUGUCCUCAAAGAAUUCGAGUUACAUCCAGGUGACUACUGUUUCUCCCACUGACAGAUGGUUGCAGGAUAAUCCCAUUGAUUCCAGAGACCAGAGUUGGACGUGAGGGUGUAUGCCAAUGCCUCAGUGGCUUCCUGGCUGAGGAAAACUGUGAUGGUGGGAUGAGCAGCUGGACUUUCAUAAGACACCAGGAACCAGAAGCAGUACCACAUGAUCCCAAAACUUCCUGGGAGUAGGAAGGAAGUCGAAAAAAGGGAACGGAGAAGGCUUUAUAUGAACCCUCCAGGGAUUUGAGUUACGAUGUAUCCCCAGAAGAAGGACCCGUGGAUCAUCCCCACUGUCUCUGGAUCCCAGUCAAACUGAGCUUUCUGUUGGGAAGCACCAGGAAAACAGGACCGUGAGAAACAACAGCAAUCUGUACAUUUAACUAGUUUGACCCCUGAAACCACACAUUUCAUUUUAAAGUUUAAAGGGGGAUAACAUGUCACUAAACUGAUAAACAGUCAAAACAAGUGAUUGAUUUUAUACUUGACCACUGACUGAACACCAACACUCCUUCACAUCACUGUCUGGAAUAAACCUUUAGCUCUGCUGAGCAAACACACUGAAAGACUUUAUUAUCAAUCAGUUUCUUGUUUUUAUUAACACCAUGAUGAAAUAUUUAUAACAAUAAAGACACCAUAAACAACCAUUCUUUUGACAGUUUUAUUUUGAGAUUCAAAUUAAAAUGUUAAAAUGAGCUUUGUUAUUUUGAAGUAAUGAGGUAAUCAAUCCAUUUACCAAGAAAUGGUUUUCCUCUUAUUACACCUGACCACUGUUUAUUCUUUCAGGCCUAUAUGUGUGUGAAACGCGUCUUGAGUAAAAGUCUAAUUUCCCUAAUGUUUAAAGGCUUUAUAUGUGAUUUUUUACACUUAAAUAUAAUAGAAAUCAGGUAUAUCCUCUGAAAAUAAC